Molecule: small RNA, 571 nt
Filed under: Candidatus Enterococcus wittei
Lineage: Bacteria; Bacillati; Bacillota; Bacilli; Lactobacillales; Enterococcaceae
Description: Enterococcus sp. 10A9_DIV0425 ROOL RNA
Rfam family: ROOL RNA
About the family: Firmicutes, Fusobacteria (1 example), Tenericutes (1 example).
Source: Rfam by way of RNAcentral
UUUUAUCAAAAAACUGAUGCAGAACCUUGUGUAUGAGAGUUUAAGCAACUCGUCAAGGAACGUUUGGUAAUAAGUCGUUGUUGGUGUCGUAAUGGGAUACUGUUGCGUAUCAAGUGAGUAUUCUUGGUAACAAGGGGAAAGCCAGUGUAAAAGCAUUGGAGCGCAAAGAACGUGUGCAAAGUGUGACCAAAUGUAAGGUAGCGAACUUGUCGAGACGACAAUAGAAAGCUAGGUUGAUAAGACUUAGCCCCUCCGUAAAGAGAAUUGCUAAGGGAUUGGCAUUUAGCACUGACGGAAACAUCCAAAGAAGUCCUUCGCCGUGAAGUGAUUAGAAAUAAUCUAUAAGACAAGAAACGCGUGAGAGUAGCAGUAGGCGGUAAAUUAAAGGAUGAUACUCUAAUAUACCGAAUGCCCCUGUGAAAUUUGUAGGCUGUCAUGCCUGACCACAUCUCGUAAGGCUGCAAUAUGCCAGCGGUCGCUCCGACUGGUACGGUAUUGUAGAAUGUGUGACCGAACAACAUUGCAAUCACAUGGCGUAGAGAGAAAUACUCCGCAUAGUUUUUUGAUGAAG